This is a long non-coding RNA of Quercus lobata, 325 nucleotides long. RefSeq lists it as uncharacterized. The record is from RefSeq and is a predicted model, not a curated record. NCBI's taxonomy places the organism in Eukaryota, Viridiplantae, Streptophyta, Magnoliopsida, Fagales, Fagaceae. The transcript is spliced from 2 exons.
ACGUACGCACUCCCCAAAUCUUAAGCAUAACAAUAACAAGCCGCUCACUCUUCUCCUAAAGAUCUUCAAUUCUCUGUCUCUCUCUCUUACAACCCAGUACUUCCACAUCUCUCUCUCUCUAUCAUAUUUCUCAGACCAAAAGCAAAGUAGAGAAAAAAAAAAAGGGAAAGAAUUUUAUUUUUCUCAUUUUACAUCACAGUAUUUCAGAGUUAAAAAUAUCUCAAGAUUUUUUUCCUUCAGAUAUCAGCUUCCAGAGAGGCACCUGUAGGGUUUUGAAUUUGGUUGUCGGUUUUGGGAGUUGUGGAGCUCAAUCCGUGGUUUCUGA